UGUGAAAUCAGACUGGAAAAACGG
Molecule: non-coding RNA, 24 nt
Filed under: Cricetulus griseus (Chinese hamster)
Lineage: Eukaryota; Metazoa; Chordata; Mammalia; Rodentia; Cricetidae
Source: RNAcentral